Molecule: ribosomal RNA, 165 nt
Filed under: Chaetothyriales sp.
Lineage: Eukaryota; Fungi; Ascomycota; Eurotiomycetes; Chaetothyriales
Description: partial large subunit ribosomal RNA
Rfam family: Eukaryotic large subunit ribosomal RNA
Source: RNAcentral
CGGCAACAGCUCAAAUUUGAAAUCUGGCCUCUUCGGGGUCCGAGUUGUAAUUUGUAGAGGAUGUUUCGGGCACGGUCCGGGCUUAAAUUUCUUGGAACAGAAUGUCAGAGAGGGUGAGAAUCCCGUCUGGAGUCUGCGACACGGCCUAUGUGAAACUCCCUCGAC